UGGUCUCUUGGGGCUUGCCCUUAUAAGGCUUCCCCCCUCCUUACCUCUUUCUGAUGUGGGAUACUUUCAAUCCACCUCAUAGGGCUUCUACCCCCCAUAAGGCCUGAGCGUCCUCGCUCAGCACACCGUACUCAUGAGGCCCAGGCUCUAAUACCAAUUGUAACAUCUUCUGGGCCCACAACAGUAGAUAUUGUCCGCUUUGGGUUCGAGGGCCUUUGCCCAGCCUUCCCCUCACGGUUUUGUUUCUCAGGGUUCACGCAAGCGUCCUUCCCUUGAAAACGCGUCUACUGUGGUCUCUUGGGGCUUGCCCUUAUAAGGCUUCCCCCCUCCUUACCUCUUUCCGAUGUGGGAUACUUUCAAUCCACCUCAUAGGGCUUCUACCCCCCAUAAGGCCUGAGCGUCCUUGCUCAGCACACCGUACUCAUGAGGCCUAGGCUCUGAUACCAAUUGUAACAUCCUCUGGGCCCACAACAGUAGAUAUUGUCCGCUUUGGGUUCGAGGGCCUUUGCCCAGCCUUCCCCUCACGGUUUUGUUUCUCAGGGUUCACGCAAGCGUCCUUC
RNAcentral lists this long non-coding RNA (560 nucleotides) under Manihot esculenta (cassava). RNAcentral's name for it is "long non-coding RNA (MESC_LNC010107)". Lineage: Eukaryota; Viridiplantae; Streptophyta; Magnoliopsida; Malpighiales; Euphorbiaceae. The record is from RNAcentral.